CCUACGGGUGGCAGCAGUGAGGAAUAUUCGGCAAUGGACGAGAGUCUGACCGAGCCAAGCAGCGUGAAGGAUGACUGCCCUAUGGGUUGUAAACUUCUUUUAUAUGGGAAUAAAAUGUUCCACGUGUGGGAUUUUGUAUGUACCAUAUGAAUAAGGAUCGGCUAACUCAGUGCCAGCAGCCGCGGUAAUACGGAGGAUCCGAGCGUUAUCCGGAUUUCUUGGGUUUAAAGGGAGCGUAGGUGGAUUGUUAAGUCAGUUGUGAAAGUUUGCGGCUCAACCGUAAAAUUGCAGUUGAAACUGGGAGUCUUGAGUACAGUAGAGGUGGGUGGAAUUCGUGGUGUAGCGGUGAAAUGCUUAGAUAUCACGAAGAACUCCGAUGGCGAAGGCAGCUCACUGGACUGCAACUGACACUGAGGCUCGAAAGUGUGGGUAGCAAACAGGAUUAGAUACCCUUGUAGUC
This 460-nucleotide ribosomal RNA is filed under the name uncultured bacterium. Its description in RNAcentral is "partial 16S ribosomal RNA". It matches the Rfam family "Bacterial small subunit ribosomal RNA", at positions 338 to 795 of the family's 1533-position model. The record is from RNAcentral.